RNAcentral lists this long non-coding RNA (248 nucleotides) under Elaeis guineensis (African oil palm). RNAcentral's name for it is "long non-coding RNA (EGUI_LNC030080)". Lineage: Eukaryota; Viridiplantae; Streptophyta; Magnoliopsida; Arecales; Arecaceae. The record is from RNAcentral.
AAGAUAUAUAUUCUACAACUUCAAUAGCAAAAUACAUGCUAAUGCAUAAGUACAUCUAACUUGACUCUUUCAAUUUUCUACUAUAUUAAUUAUUGCAUGAAAGACUUUGAGCCUCACAUAUAGCUAGAGUUUGAAGGCUUCAAACACUAUUUUUCUAUAAUACAAAAAAAUAAGUUUCUCGAAGCUCAUCCUUUUUCAUGGGCCUAUACUCUAAGAAGAGAGAAGUACGAGCCAAUGACUUGCCACAC